CUGGGCUCAAGCAGUCCUCUCACCUCAGCCUCCCAAAGUGCUGGGAUUACAGGAAUGAGCCAUCUCGCCCAGCCUAUCAUAGUUUUUAUACUUUCUUUCUUGUUUAAUUUUAUUUGUGUUUUAGGGCUCUUGGUGGUAUCGCUCAAUACGCUAUAGUGGAGACCAGAUUCUAAUACGCACAACACAGAUUUAUACAUACUUUGUUUAUAAAACCCGAAAUAUGGAUAUGAAACGUCUUAUCAUGGUUUUGGCUGGAGCUUCUGAAUUUGAUCCUCAGUAUAAUAAAGAUGCCACAAGCAGACCAACGGAUAAUAUUCUAAUACCACAGCUAAUCAGAGAAAUUGGCAGCAUUAAUUUAAAGAAGAAUGAGCCUCCACUUACCUGCCCAUAUAGCCUGAAGGCCAGAGUUCUUUUAUUGUCUCAUCUUGCUAGAAUGAAAAUUCC
This 444-nucleotide small RNA is filed under the name Pan troglodytes (chimpanzee). RNAcentral describes it as "retained intron". The record is from RNAcentral. Lineage: Eukaryota; Metazoa; Chordata; Mammalia; Primates; Hominidae.